CCUGGGGUGGUCAGGGCCCAGAGAUCCAAAGGUGAGGGAGGCAGGUCGGAAACUCUCCUGUGUGUUAAAUAGAGUCAGGUCUCCAGACCUAUUUAAAUCAUAUCUUGGGGAAGUAAAAAGUGGGCAGGAGACUAUUGUCAUCCCUGUGGCUCAAACCCAAUCCUGAACCUCCGCCUUCUUGACAAGGGUCUGUCUGAGAUGACAGGAGGCCCCUACUUAAUCUUCCUGGGCAAAUACUAGAAGAUGGUCUCCGCCAUUCCAGAUGCUGAGAGUUUACGUUUAUUUCCACAAGUCUUAGAGCCUUUGCUGGUGGAUGUGAUGGUGUUGGAACACUACAAAUCCACACAAUGGCUUUAUUCUGUGGCCGGGAUCUCUAGGUGAUACCAAGUCUUAAAGAACAAGGAGGAGCAGCCCAUUUAGUAUGGCUCCCGCAGAGGGCCACGGUUCCUCUCUAGAUGCCACAGGCCUGUGGCUUGCUGAGGAGGGGCGCCUUCACCUGUGAACACUUUCCAAGCAGGCACAGACGGGGCACAGGAGGUGGCCCCGAGAGUGACAUAUUUCUCCCUGACAUGUGAGCGCUCAUAAAAUUAUUGUGCAAGAAGAGAGGCUUGAAGAUCCUCAUUGCCUAAGACUCCUUUCUCCCUCCUCCACAGGGUUGGAACUCAAUCUCGUGUUGCAGGAGACCUUUGGACCGCCAUUGCCAGGGACGCCCCACCCGUGGGGCUGUUAGAGUCUCUCUCGCCUGGUUUAUGUCACAGCACACAAUUCCCGGUUGACUUAAACUACCCAAAAGAACAGCUCUGUGCAUCCUGGCUGCUUCUGAAUCCCAGGAGGCUCUCCGCCUGUGAAUUCUGAGGAGGUGUGGGGUUUUCCUCCUCAUCCGGGGGCUCCCCAGAUCUCUCACACAAUCUCUCACUCCCCCCUUUUUUGCUUGGUCUGUAAGUGGCCUUGGAGCACAACCAUCUGCCACAAAAGAAAUAUUUCAGAACUCGAGCUUACAUGUUCAAACCCAACAGAGCUAUCUAGUUUUGUUGUAGAAUUAUCUCCGCUUUGCCAAAGGAAACUUAAGGCACAGAUUUAUUAUGAGUGACCAAAGGGAUGAUGGUGAGGUCAAGGGGAAGAGGGAAAUGAAAGAGGAAAUCCCUUGGGAAUUAAGGGUUAGUUUUCCUGGGCAUGAUUAGACAGGGUCAGAGACAUUAGGUCUCUAGAUGAAAAAAAGACACAUUUGUCACACCUGAAUUGUAAUCCGAGACUCCUUCUGUCACCAAAGCUCCAAGUUUCCUGAGUUUGGGCUGAGAAGUUAGAGGGGGACCUGCAGCAGCAGCAGCCUCUUCCUACAGGCCCGCGCUGUGGGAGACCAGAUGGUGAAAACAAUGAAAUCUGGGGCCAGGGUAGAAUCUACUGGAAACAAUGGGCAUGACAAAGCCAUGGGGCCUGCCUGUAGGAAAUGGGCAUCAAGGGAGUGAUGUCUACAGGUUCAGUGGAAAAGCCAUGUCUGCAAAGAACCGGACCAAAGGAGUGUAGCUUAUGGUCUUGCUACUCAAACUGUGGUCCGUGGACCAGUGACAUCAGCAUUACCUGGGAACUGCUGCUUAGAAAUGCAGAAGAAUCUCAGGCCCAUUCAGGCCAAAUCAACAUUCCAUUUUAGCCAGAUACUCAGGUGGUUUGUGGGCACACGGAAGUUUGAGAAACACUGUCUGAAUUCUUCCAAGUGAGGUGCAGCUGAGUACAUGUUCUACUCGGAGUGUGGCAGGGUCUAUAUGUUCCUACAUCAUGCGGACCCUGACUGUGGAGAUCCAAGCAACCCUCAAACAGAGUGUCAGGGAGGUAGGGCUGGGCGGCCUGUAUUAGGACGGGCCUCAAAGUUUAGACCAGACUCUCCUCAGUUUCCCCUCCAGCACCAGUCUUACGCUUCUAUAUGGUAACCCUCAUCAUUCAUGUCUAUUUGUGCUAGUGUUUCUCCUGGACAAAUUCUUCUAAGUGGGCACAUUUCAGAGAUUGCCAAAUUUCCCAAACAAAAAAGUUCACCCAUGUGUGUUCCUGCUAACAGCAUGGAGAAUGCAUGUUCUCUACCCUUUUGCCAAUAUUACCUAACAAUUUCAAUUCUGGCAUCUGGAAACCCACAAAAAUUAUAUUUAGUGAUUUAAAUUUACAUUAUUGGUGAGCUAAGCUUUUCAUAUUUAGUGGUAAUUUGUACUUUUUCCAUAUAAUUAAUAUGUUCUGGUACUUUCUUCAUUUUUUUAAUGAUGAAUUUUCCCUAUUAUUGAUUUGUCCCUAUGUUUUGUAUAUGGGGAAGUUAUUUUUGGCCUCUUUUAUGUGCAGCACAUAUCUCGUUUUGAUUUCAUUGAAGGCACACACACACACACACACAUACACACACACACCUGUACAGCAAUGUUUAGAAAUGUAAAACUGUUACGUAGUCAUAUUUAUUGGUCAUGUUCUUUGUGACUUCUAGGUUUCAUUUUGAUGUUUAGGAAAGCUUUCUCUGUUCCUAGUUUGUGAAAAACAUGCAAUGAUGAAAACAGUGCUUUUUGUCUGCAUUUUAAAAAAUUGAAAUCUUCGCUUCAUGUAAAAUAAAUGUGGGUUAAAAGAAAAUAGAGUUAAGAAUUCACUCUGUUUUCUCCAAAUGGUUAACAGAUUAUCCUUACAGAUUUUCUCAUGUAACAGAUUUUCCUCAUUGCUUGGAAAUGCCACCUUUAAAUAAUGUACUGAAUUCUCAUAUGUACUUGAGUUUAUUUCUGUGCUUUUUAAUUCCAUUUAUCUGUCUGCCAGUUCCAUGCCAUUUUCUUCUAAAUAAUUAUUAUUGUAGCUUUGCCAUGUCUUUUACUAUAGGGAGGGCUGGCCUACCCCUGGGCCAAGGACUUCCUUGGCUCUUCUCCUGUGUAUUCUUAUAGGCAAUAAUGAUAAUAAUAAUAAUAAAGCUGAUAUUUACACAC
Mustela lutreola (European mink) is the source of this 2939-nucleotide long non-coding RNA. RefSeq lists it as uncharacterized. The record is from RefSeq and is a predicted model, not a curated record. NCBI's taxonomy places the organism in Eukaryota, Metazoa, Chordata, Mammalia, Carnivora, Mustelidae. The transcript has 2 exons.